RNAcentral lists this ribosomal RNA (466 nucleotides) under uncultured bacterium. RNAcentral describes it as "partial 16S ribosomal RNA". It matches the Rfam family "Bacterial small subunit ribosomal RNA", at positions 28 to 507 of the family's 1533-position model. The record is from RNAcentral.
GAUGAACGCUGGCGGCGUGCUUAACACAUGCAAGUCGAACGGAAAGGCUCCUGCUUGCCGGGGUACUCGAGUGGCAAAGGGGGACGUAACAGGUGGGUAUCCGGCCCUGCAUUUCGGGAUAGGCCGGGGAAACUGGGCUUAUUCCCGGAUAGGACACGGGUUUGGAUGCAAUGGUGGAAAUUUUUUUGGGUGUGGGAUGAGCUCGCGGCCUAUCGGCUUGUUGGGGGGGUAAUGGCCUACCAAGGCUUCGACGGGUAGCCGGCCUGAGAGGGUGGACGGCCACAUUGGGACUGAGGUACGGCCCAGACUCCUACGGGAGGCAGCAGUGGGGAAUAUUGCACAAUGGGCGCAAGCCUGAUGCAGCGACGCCGCGUGGGGGAUGACGGCCUUCGGGUUGUAAACUCCUUUCGCUAGGGACGAAGCGCAAGUGACGGUACCUGGAGAAGAAGCACCGGCUAACUACGUG